This 366-nucleotide ribosomal RNA is filed under the name uncultured eukaryote. Its description in RNAcentral is "partial 18S ribosomal RNA". It matches the Rfam family "Eukaryotic small subunit ribosomal RNA", at positions 592 to 976 of the family's 1831-position model. The record is from RNAcentral.
CAAUAGCGUAUAUUAAAGUUGUUGCAGUUAAAAAGCUCGUAGUUGAAUUUCUGGUGGGCGCGCCGGUCUUCCAAGUGUUGUACUGGGCGCAGUCCGCCAUCCUUGUGGAGAGGGCUCGCAUUGAGUUGCGUGUCGGAUCUGCAUCAUUUACUGUGAAAAAAUUAGAGUGUUUAAAGCAGGCUGUCGCUUGAAUACAUUAGCAUGAAAUAAUAAGAUAGGACUUCGGUCUAUUUUGUUGGUUGCGAACCGAGGUAAUGAUUAAUAGGGAUAGUUGGGGGUAUUCAUAUUUAAUUGUCAGAGGUGAAAUUCUUGGAUUUAUGAAAGAUGAACAACUGCGAAAGCAUUUACCAAGGAUGUUUUCAUUAA